GUUGUAUGGUGAUGAGCGCGUGCUUAUCUUCUUCUAGUUCUCGAAGAUGUUGAUCCCGAAAAAGUGUAUGUCCUCGGAGGCCUCGUGGAUGAAAGUAUACACAAGAACCUGACCCUGCAAAGGGCACAAGGGCAGUCCUUGCAAACAGCCCGCCUCCCAAUUCGUGAGUAUAUGGUAAAAUCCAUGAACACGAAGAACUACUACUCGGAGACGCUGGCAAUUAAUCAAGUCUUCGAUGUCUUAUCGACUUACUACAGAACCCAAAGUUGGCCAGAUGCUUUGAAAGCUGGAGUUUCUUCUGGAAAAGGCUACGUGCUUCCGGACGGAGAGAAAUCAGUGAAAAAUACCUCAGCGUGACAAUGCACAAGAAAACUCUUUUAUUUCCUGAAAGUUAAGGAGCUGUGCAAGCAAGAGUAGCAAACUGCAGAUUUCAAGCAGAGGCACCAGUGUGAAUGUGUGCAGAGAAAACAGCUCUGCCUAAAUUUACUUACGUACGGACCUCGGCAAGAGUGACAGAUUCUGCCUCAGCGGUACAGUGCUGGAAAUGACUUUACGCCCUGAACAGAAAACAGAAGCCAGCUGAGCCCUGAGAUCAACAAAGAGUCGGUAGGAUUUCUUUUUUUUUUUCUUCUUUUCAACAGGAUUAAAUAGGAAGGAUUGUAGAGCACGCCAGUUAAUAACAGUCCUUCCCGUGGAAAAGGACAGCACUGUUCUAACUGAGCACAGGAUGGGAAGUGAUCCAAAAUUAAUAGACAAACGGUGCCCAGAUGCACCAGAACAUGAUUUUUCUUCCUACUUGUACUGAGGACUGGGUGUCUUGGUGUGCUGCCGAAGCCUGUAGUGAAUCCUGUGCAUGCUGGUCACAAUCUAUCUAAAAUAAAGUAUUCAAAUUUCUGUUGCCUCCUUACAGUAACUGAUGUCUUGUGUCAGUACGUGAUAACGGACACUAUGGCCUGAGCAGAGAACGCUUCUGAUGCAUGUAAGAUAAUGCUACUUCAGCCACUGUCAGUUAAAAAACCCUGCAAACACACAGAAAAGCCAAACCUGCUAUCGGUGACUCUCCAAGAAGGAGUUGGAGGGCUUUGCAGGUAAAUUCCCAUCACCUUUGCCUCCGUCUUCAUCUCCCCUUCACACCAAGGGCCUUUGACACCACGGGGAAUUUGGUACUCAUGACACAUACUGUCAGCAGGUGGUUCCUCCCCAUAGAGGCUGAAACUGUGUUUGCAGGUGCCUGUUGCUUUACUGUGUCCUAGGGCUCUUCCUGCUUGUAUUCGUGUUCCGUGCUCAUCAAGCUGUUAGUAGGUAGGUAGAUGUCACUGCAGCUCUGCCAAGACAGCAAGGGCAGCGUUUUGGCUCCAGUGUAAGAUUUUUAACUUCCUGAUUCAGCCCCUGAAUUUGCAGGGCAACACUGCAGAGUAGCUGAAACCACCUGCCAGUGAUGAAACGGCAGGGAAUCCUGCUUGGGUGAACUAUUCAGCUACCCCCUCCAUCCUAAGCACGCAGCUGCAGGGACUGACCUGCUGCAAGCAUCACCCUUCCCAAACAAGUCCCUGGGUCAGAUACCAGCGGUCGAGGACCUGCUGCAACCCUCUUUCCCACCAGAUUGCUGAGGAUGUGCCUCCAGCACUGGAAAGCACACAUUCACUAGAGGUGCUCCAUUAGGAUACGUUUAAGGGCUAAUAGCUCAUAUCCAGCUAGGGAUACCUAGCACUUUGUGCAGCUAUUGACAAGAAGGUCGGGAAAAGUGGCGUGCCUUCGAGGGAGGCUGGCAUGAUGGGUUAUGUCAACAGCUGCAAAGUUGGCACUUCUGUCUUCAAGACUUAUCCCCUUUUUUGGAAGACAGGUAUCAUUAGGUAGCUACUUCAUGGCAAGGCUAGCACUGGCGGAGGCUGCCAAUUAGGGAUGCUCUUCAGCAUUAGCAACUGUAAAUAGAUCAGACUGACACACAGAAACUACAGCAGGAGGACAGGAUAUGGUGCUGCAUCCCCAGCCUGGGACAACCUUCUCUACGUUUGCAAGGAGGAGCAGAUAAACAGUGUAAUUCUUUCUCCCAAAGUGCUUUCCAUCACAGUUCAACUGCAGAGCAGAGCGGCCCAGCUCUGUUUGGUGGACCAGAUGGGACUCUGAUCUCACCCUCCUUCACAGCUCACUUGGUCACCUCUCUGCCUGUGGCCUGUGCUCCACAGGUGACAGAGGAGGCUAGGACAAUGCUCAUCUGACUGGCUAUCUGCAAGGUGCUGGGGAGCUGAAGGACAAAUCCCAGGCUACAUAGAUAAGCUAUGAAGUGCUCUGUGAGUUUGCACGUUGUGUACGCAGCAUUAGAUAAAGCGAGGCUGGAGUGGCACAAGCUCUGUCCCAUGGCCACCCCUGAACUAGGCAGCUGUUGGUGGAAGUCAGUUGACACACGGAGGUGCCCUUCCGUGACCACAUGCUGAGCUGUGGGGGUUAAAUGUCCUGCGUGGGAGAGCCUAGUGAUGCACGAAGGAAAUGUGGGGAGGGUCCUCCGCACCCACCAACCGCCCCGUCACGGCGGGGGGACCCUGAAGUGCUGCAGGAGGCAAACCAUGGCAGCAGUAAGGGCUGUGUGCUGGCGUGUCAGGAGCGUGGUGCCCAGGUCUGGGCAGCCUUGCCUGCAAAGCUGCUGGUGAACAGCCUGCACUAGCUGGUGGUAGGUGCCCACCACGUCCACGAGCGCAGCGCUGAGCUCCUGCUGCCUCUGCCUGCAUAGCUGGCAGUGCGUCACCUGGAAGCAGGCCACUGCCAGCUGAACAAGGUGGUCAAACGUCACCCUCAGCACCUCCUGCAGCUCUUCGAGCGGACGCUCCGUUUUCAGAAGCUCCUUGCAACUGGACAGCAGGUCCUGAGAGGCUGAGCCAAGGGCAUCUUUGCUCUCAGCACCCUGCUCUGCGCAUCGGUCUUGCAGGUGGGCUGCUCGGUUCCCAGAGAGGUUCCCCACAACCUCCUGGAGCUCGGUAGUGUAGGCUAGGAAGCAGGAGAAAUCUGCAGGGCUCGUCCAUGCUUGGUCCUUCAGCUGGCUGAGGGCUUGGACUUCAGGGCCCAGCGCCCCGUCCCACGCAAUGGGAAUGGGGUAACUUCCCACAGAGGUCCCAGGAAGACCGCAGCUGGUGGACGGUGGGGUAGUGACGGGCUGCAGAACCAUGCUGCACAUGGGAAUGGUGGUUUCCUGCUUUCUGUCUUCGUCGGGCCUAUGGAAGCAGCUGACAUAGGGCAGCUG
Molecule: long non-coding RNA, 3235 nt
Filed under: Gallus gallus (chicken)
Lineage: Eukaryota; Metazoa; Chordata; Aves; Galliformes; Phasianidae
Description: long non-coding RNA NONGGAT012113
Source: RNAcentral